ACGGGUGAGUAAUGCUUAGGAAUCUGCCUAUUAGUGGGGGACAACAUCUCGAAAGGGAUGCUAAUACCGCAUACGUCCUACGGGAGAAAGCAGGGGACCUUCGGGCCUUGCGCUAAUAGAUGAGCCUAAGUCGGAUUAGCUAGUUGGUGGGGUAAAGGCCUACCAAGGCGACGAUCUGUAGCGGGUCUGAGAGGAUGAUCCGCCACACUGGGACUGAGACACGGCCCAGACUCCUACGGGAGGCAGCAGUGGGGAAUAUUGGACAAUGGGGGGAACCCUGAUCCAGCCAUGCCGCGUGUGUGAAGAAGGCCUUUUGGUUGUAAAGCACUUUAAGCGAGGAGGAGGCUACCGAGAUUAAUACUCUUGGAUAGUGGACGUUACUCGCAGAAUAAGCACCGGCUAACUCUGUGCCAGCAGCCGCGGUAAUACAGAGGGUGCAAGCGUUAAUCGGAUUUACUGGGCGUAAAGCGCGCGUAGGUGGCCAAUUAAGUCAAAUGUGAAAUCCCCGAGCUUAACUUGGGAAUUGCAUUCGAUACUGGUUGGCUAGAGUAUGGGAGAGGAUGGUAGAAUUCCAGGUGUAGCGGUGAAAUG
This 591-nucleotide ribosomal RNA is filed under the name uncultured bacterium. Its description in RNAcentral is "bacterial SSU rRNA". It matches the Rfam family "Bacterial small subunit ribosomal RNA", at positions 102 to 688 of the family's 1533-position model. The record is from RNAcentral.